RNAcentral lists this ribosomal RNA (253 nucleotides) under uncultured bacterium. RNAcentral's name for it is "partial 16S ribosomal RNA". It matches the Rfam family "Bacterial small subunit ribosomal RNA", at positions 524 to 776 of the family's 1533-position model. The record is from RNAcentral.
UACGUAGGGCGCGAGCGUUGUCCGGAAUCAUUGGGCGUAAAGAGCUUGUAGGCGGUUUGUCGCGUCUGCUGUGAAAUUUCGGGGCUCAACCCCGAACUUGCAGUGGGUACGGGCAGACUAGAGUGUGGUAGGGGAGACUGGAAUUCCUGGUGUAGCGGUGAAAUGCGCAGAUAUCAGGAGGAACACCGAUGGCGAAGGCAGGUCUCUGGGCCAUAACUGACGCUGAGAAGCGAAAGCAUGGGGAGCGAACAGG